UUUAGCAAGAAAACUACAAGCAAAGAGCCCUUUAGUUUGUAACCCCGAAACUGAGCGAGCUACUCCAAGACAGCCUAUGUAGGGCAAACCCGUCUCUGUGGCAAAAGAGUGGGGAGAGCUUUGAGUAGAGGUGACAAACCUACCGAGCUCAGUUAUAGCUGGUUGCCUGAGAAAUGAAUAGGAGUUCAGCCCUUUAAAUCUUCCCCCAUCACCCAUGCUUACGCUAAAAUUGAUUAAGGAAAUUAAAGGCGUUAAUUAAAAGGGGUACAGCCCUUUUAAUAGAAGAAACAACUUUAACAGGUGACCCAAGAUCAUAUUACCUAAGGAUUUCAAAUCAAGUGGGCCUAAAAGCAGCCAUCUUAACAGAAAGCGUUAAAGCUCAAAUUAACUAGUAUCCUCAUAUACUGAUAUUUCAUCUCCCUCCCUGCCCCUUACCAGGCUAUUUUAUGCCCUCAUAAGAAUAAUUAUGCUAAA
RNAcentral lists this ribosomal RNA (474 nucleotides) under Trisopterus esmarkii (Norway pout). RNAcentral describes it as "partial 16S ribosomal RNA". It matches the Rfam family "Bacterial large subunit ribosomal RNA", at positions 626 to 1221 of the family's 2925-position model. The record is from RNAcentral. Lineage: Eukaryota; Metazoa; Chordata; Actinopteri; Gadiformes; Gadidae.